This 469-nucleotide ribosomal RNA is filed under the name uncultured bacterium. Its description in RNAcentral is "bacterial SSU rRNA". It matches the Rfam family "Bacterial small subunit ribosomal RNA", at positions 335 to 798 of the family's 1533-position model. The record is from RNAcentral.
ACUCCUACGGGAGGCAGCAGUGGGAAGUAUUGCACAAUGGGGGAAACCCUGAUGCAGCCAUGCCGCGUGUGUGAAGAAGGCCUUGGGUUGUAAAGCACUUUCAGUAGGGAGGAAGGUAGUGUAGUUAACACCUGCAUUAUUUGACGUUACCUACAGAAGAAGCACCGGCUAACUCCGUGCCAGCAGCCGCGGUAAUACGGAGGGUGCGAGCGUUAAUCGGAAUUACUGGGCGUAAAGCGCAUGCAGGCGGCCUGUUAAGUCAGAUGUGAAAGCCCGGGGUCUUAACCUCGGAAUUGCAUUUGAAACUGGCAGGCUAGAGUCUUGUAGAGGGGUUAGAAUUUCAGGUGUAGCGGUGAAAUGCGUAGAGAUCUGAAGGAAUACCAGUGGCGAAGCGGCCCCUGGACAAAGACUGACGCUCAGAUGCGAAAGCGUGGGAGCAAACAGGAUUAGAUACCCCGUGGUAGACUGU